AGUGAAUAUGUUCAUAUUACGUUUUUAUUGUGUAACGGGUAGAUCAAGCGUACUACAUGUCCCAAGAUCCCUGCCUAUGCUCCGCCUUCACCUGGCUGCGAGGCUUACCUGACGUAGGGCAUUCGUCUUUUUAAAUUAAUGACCCCGCGAAAGCUCACCUGUGCUGUCUUGCUGGGAGAAUUGUUUGGUGUCUGCUUUCUCGUUGCUGUCCCUCCGAACUCAUCCUUUGUGUCGUUUCAGUCAACGCGUCUUUGCUCAACCGUGUGUUUUUGCAACUAGCGACUGCAGUUGUGCCGGUAGCGCGACUCAUCUCUGUAGCCUACGGCCUGGCUGUCUUACUGUGGUGAUCCUAAGUUCCCGAACCUGGAGGUGUGCCGUUUCUCCGCACCCUCGAACGUCACCAUAAAGCGGUCAAUCACUGUUUUCCCCUGGCCACUUUGUAACAGUGCACC
Alosa alosa (allis shad) is the source of this 452-nucleotide long non-coding RNA. RefSeq lists it as uncharacterized. The transcript has 3 exons. Lineage: Eukaryota; Metazoa; Chordata; Actinopteri; Clupeiformes; Clupeidae. The record is from RefSeq and is a predicted model, not a curated record.